Molecule: ribosomal RNA, 568 nt
Filed under: uncultured bacterium
Lineage: Bacteria
Description: bacterial SSU rRNA
Rfam family: Bacterial small subunit ribosomal RNA
Source: RNAcentral
YCGACGAUUCCUACGGGAGGCAGCAGCAGGGAAUAUUGCGCAAUGAGCGAAAGCUUGACGCAGCGACACCGCGUGUGGGAUGACGGAUCUAGGUUUGUAAACCACUUUCAGGAGGGAAGAAAAUGACGGUACCUCCACAAGAAGCCCCGGCCAACUUCGUGCCAGCAGCCGCGGCAAUACGAAGGGGGCGAGCGUUGUUCGGAAUUACUGGGCGUAAAGGGCGCGUAGGCGGUCUUUUAAGUUAGGCGUGAAAUCCCCGGGCUCAACCUGGGAAUUGCGCUUAAGACUGGAAGACUAGAAAACGGAAGAGGGUAGUGGAAUUCCCAGUGUAGAGGUGAAAUUCGUAGAUAUUGGGAAGAACACCAGUGGCGAAAGCGGCUACCUGGUCCGAUUUUGACGCUGAGGCGCGAAAGCGUGGGGAGCAAACAGGAUUAGAUACCCUGGUAGUCCACGCCGUAAACGAUGUCUGCUAGAUGUCGGGGGGUUGCCCCUCGGUGUCGCCGCUAACGCAUUAAGCAGACCGCCUGGGAAGUACGGUCGCAAGAUUAAAACUCAAAGGAAUUGACGG